RNAcentral lists this unclassified non-coding RNA (2166 nucleotides) under Rhopalosiphum maidis (corn leaf aphid). RNAcentral's name for it is "suppressor of hairless protein-like, transcript variant X1". Lineage: Eukaryota; Metazoa; Arthropoda; Insecta; Hemiptera; Aphididae. The record is from RNAcentral.
AACUCGUUAAUACCUAACUAUUGUCUACUAAUUAUUACUUAUAACAAUAUUACUAUCUAUAUUAUGUCUGUAUAUUAUGAUUAUUUUGUUAGUUAUAAUGUGAAGGUAUCUGUUUUUCAACGAAUUUAACGAACUCAUUAUUUGUUAAUACUUUUUGUAUACAUUGUACCCAAUUAAAUAGUUCAUCAACUGUGUCGUUUUUAGUUGUUGAAUAAUAUUUAAAUAAAUCCAAUACCAAGGUGUUACCUGUUCAAAACGUUUUAUUCAAAUAUUCUACAUGCCUAUGAAGUAUGAAUAGAAUGUUUUUAUUCUGAAGUUGGAGUCGGCGACUGAGAUAUGAACAUCGCAGUAGUUAAUUCCAUUGGUUUUUUUGAAUAGGAAUUUAACUUAUAUUUACAACAGUGGAUUUGUUUUCUACAAAAAUGCCUCAUCAUUACGGUCUAGAAAUUACUACACAGAUUCGGCCCGAAAAGAAGCUGACUAAAGAUGCUAUGGAAAGAUAUUUACUUGAUCGCAACGACUUGGUUUUAGUUAUCCUUCAUGCUAAAGUUGCUCAAAAGUCUUAUGGCACUGAAAAACGUUUUUUUUGUCCACCUCCAUGUGUCUAUCUUUUUGGCAAAGGUUGGAAGUUACGUCAACAACAGUUGCUUAGAGAAGGAGUGACUGAAACUAAUUCUCAAAUGAGUGCAUUCAUAGGUAUUGGUAGUGCAGAUCAAGAUUUGCAACCACUGGAUCUUAAUAAUAUUAAACAGUAUUGUGCUGCUAAAACUUUAUUUAUAUCUGAUUCUGAUAAGCGCAAGCACUUUAUGCUUAUGGUUAGAAUGUUCUACAACAAUGGAUACGACAUUGGAACCUUCCACAGUAAACGAAUCAAAGUAAUAUCUAAACCUUCAAAAAAAAAACAAUCCUUGAAAAACGCUGAUUUAUGUAUAGCUAGUGGUACAAAAGUAGCACUGUUCAAUAGGCUUAGAUCACAAACAGUGAGCACCCGAUAUUUACAUGUUGAAAAUGGAACCUUCCAUGCCAGUUCAACAGAGUGGGGAGCUUUUAUCAUUUACUUAUUGGAUGAUGAUGAAAGUGAAAGUGACAUGUUCAAUGUUCGAGAUGGUUACAUUCAUUAUGGCAGUACAGUAAAAUUGGUAUGCAGUGUUUCUGGAAUGGCUUUACCUCGACUAGUCAUCAGAAAAGUUGAUAAACAAACAGCAUUGCUAGAAGCUGAUGAUCCGGUGUCGCAAUUGCACAAAUGUGCUUUUUAUAUGAAAGACACUAAUCACAUGUAUUUAUGUUUAUCCCAAGAGCGUAUAACUAACUUCAAUGCCACACCAUGUCCAAAAGGGCCAAAUAAAGAAAUGAUCAACGAUGGAGCUUGUUGGACCAUCAUUAGUACAGACAAAGCGGAAUACCAAUUUUAUGAAGGAAUGGGACCCGUAAAUUCUCCUAUAACACCCGUACCAGUAGUGCAUGGACUUAACACUAAUGGUGGUGGUGAUGUGGCCAUGUUAGAAUUGAGUGGUGAAAAUUUUACACCACAUCUACAAGUAUGGUUUGGAAAUGUUGAGUCUGAAACUAUGUUUCGUUGCCAAGAGAGUAUGAUUGCAGUCGUACCAGAUAUCUCUUCAUUUAGAGGAGACUGGUCAUGGGUAAAACAGCUAACUCAAGUACCAGUUUCAUUAGUAAGAAAUGAUGGGAUUAUUUAUGCUACAGGAUUAACUUUUACAUAUACACCUGAGCCAGGUCCAAGAAACCGUGUAACACCAGCUGACAAAAUAAUGCGAACAUCUACUUCAAAAAAUAAUUUUUCACUAUCACAUAUCAUGAGUUGAUUAUAAAAAGGGUAUUUUUUUAAAUAGUAUUAUUUAUUUUACAGCCAACAGGGUAUAUGACUGAUAAUUGACUGAAUGAAACAACUAUACAAUGUUUUGACUUUUGAUAGUAAAGUAGUAAUAAUUAGUGGAGAUAUUUCAGGUUGGGAAAAAAUAUGUUUGUUCUACAUUAAAUAAUCUGGUAUUGGACAGUUAUUAAAUGAUAAAUAAAAUUGUAUGUAGUUGGCCCUCAUUUAAUUGUUGAGUACUCAAAAUAUCUCUAAUAAAAUGCCUAUUGAGACAAAUAUAUAUAUUGAAAUUUCUUUAAAAAACUAUACAUAUGUAAUAAUAUUGCUCAAAUUUU